GGGCGGCUCGGAAAAGUUUGCCUCGGCAGCCCGGGGGUCUCCCUGCCCCAGCCCCCGGGGCGGCGGGUCGGAUCUCACCUCGAGGCGAGGCGCGGCGGAGGGGGCGGAAAGCCCCGGGAUUUACUCAGCUCGGAUUUGCCUGGCGCACCAUGUCUCCCCGGCUCGGCGCUGCCGCCGGGCUGCUGCUGCUGCUGCUCCUGCUGCUCCUGUCACUCGCGGCCGGGGCCGACGGCAAGGCUCGCAGCUGCGCCGAGGUGAGGCAGGCGUACGGGGCCAAGGGCUUCAGCCUCGGCAACAUCCCCUACCAGGAGAUCGCAGAAAAAGAAGUGGCGUGUGGCAUGUAUUGAUGAUGUUCUUUGGCGAUUUUGGGGAUCAGUAUACCUGGCCAAUGACUAAAAUUCUACCAGCUUGAAGAAGAACAAUGAUCUCAUGCCUCCAGGUCCUAUCUUUUGCUAUUUUCUGUGCUACUAUUAAUGCAAAACUACCCUUCCAUUCUCAAGUUUUCCUCUUCAGUUUAAACUGUAUUGAAAAAAUACCUGGAAUUUGCAUUAGUGUAGCAUUUCAAUACUGAUGCAUUUGGUGCUUUCUGACUCUUAUUAACUAACUCUGACCUAUGAAAUACAAAGCAAACAAACUUUGCUUUUAAAUGAAAAAUAAAUUAAAGCUGCAGUUCUUAUCUAAGCA
Molecule: long non-coding RNA, 684 nt
Filed under: Crocodylus porosus (Australian saltwater crocodile)
Lineage: Eukaryota; Metazoa; Chordata; Crocodylia; Crocodylidae
Description: lncRNA (ENSCPRG00005018329.1)
Source: RNAcentral